AGUAAAAUUGCACACAAACUGAUGAGAAAGAAAAGACUCGUACAUUUUUUUUUACUUCUCAAUUCAACUACAUAAAACAAGACGACCUAGUGCCAUUUUAUAGGCUUACAACUUAACAACUAAACCUAAAAUAUAGGAACUAAAGAUAGUGGUGAAGUAGGAGUAAAACACUGCUAAGAACGUGCCCACUAAUUCUGUAAAACAGUAAAUAGAAAAAAUACAGAAAUUGACUUAGUAAAACUUACUUCCACUUAAUACUAAAAAACAGGACCAUAACAAGACUUGCACAUUAUUGAAGAAUUAGUCAACACCCCCCCUUUCUUCAAAAUCACAUACUCCCAUUUGUAGCUUGAAGAAGUCAUGCUUGUUGCGCGGAAGCGAUUUAGUAAGAACAUCAGCAACCUGAUCAUUUGUGCCACAAAAUUUCAAUGAG
Molecule: long non-coding RNA, 433 nt
Filed under: Capsicum annuum
Lineage: Eukaryota; Viridiplantae; Streptophyta; Magnoliopsida; Solanales; Solanaceae
Description: long non-coding RNA (CANN_LNC002427)
Source: RNAcentral